RNAcentral lists this unclassified non-coding RNA (280 nucleotides) under Bryoria sp. RNAcentral describes it as "partial contains 5.8S ribosomal RNA, internal transcribed spacer 2, and large subunit ribosomal RNA". The record is from RNAcentral. Lineage: Eukaryota; Fungi; Ascomycota; Lecanoromycetes; Lecanorales; Parmeliaceae.
AACGCACAUUGCACCCGGUGGUAUUCCGCCGGGUAUGCCUGUUCGAGCGUCUGUAGAACAACACCUUCAGCAAGCUUUAUGCUUGAUUUUGGGGUUGCGGCGUCAAGCUGCAGCCCUCAAGUCCACGGGCGGUUCCAGUAGGUUCUAUGCGUGGUAAUUUCUCCUCGCUACAGAACUUUGCCGGCACAUUUGGUAUUAAGCCCAGCAAUGGCGACUCCAAGCCCUUAACACCCAAUUUUAGUUUGACCUCGGGUCAAGUAGGGAUACCCGCUGAACUUAA